UUUGUAAACAAAGCCGUGUUCUAAUGAGCACAAAAUAUGUUUGACACAUGCGCACAAAUUUACUGUUUAUAUUAAAGUUAUUUCCAUCGUUAUCCUAUAAAAUAUAUACAUUCAAGAAGCUUACAUAAACUGUUAUAAUAUAUGUUAUAUCGAACAACAUAUAUUUCCCCUGCUCGUAUUUUUUUUUAAACUUAUCAAAUAUGAAAUGUAAUGUACAGACUCCUCGGG
Molecule: long non-coding RNA, 228 nt
Filed under: Mytilus galloprovincialis (Mediterranean mussel)
Lineage: Eukaryota; Metazoa; Mollusca; Bivalvia; Mytilida; Mytilidae
Source: RNAcentral